CUGUCGAGGAAGGAGGACUUGGCCUGGCAUGCUCUGAGCUUGAGCUUCCCCCAGGGAAUAGCACAGGCCGAGGAGCCUCUGCUGUCCUUGGCCAGAUGCAGCCCUCCCGGUUUCUGUGUAGAACUGAGCUCUCACCCACUGUCUCGUUUCCCCUCUGGUGCUGCCUUCCUCCCACUCCACUCCACUCCGCAACGCCCACCCUUCGGCUGCAACGCUUGCUUUCAUUGCUGCUUGGCUAGGUCUCCCUUCUCCUUCUCUUAGAAGCCCAGGAAGAUGCUGGGGCCAGUGGGUCCAUAAGAUCUUCUGGGGAGGCUAGCUAGGUAGGGUGGAAGCCUCUCAGCCCUCCAGAGUCUCAACCAGAGUCAACUCCUCUUCCCUUCUUCUUGCUGCCUCAGCCUGCCCUGGCCAUAGGACUAGGCAGAGAUGUGUUCUGAGCUGGAUAUCCUGGAUACAGAGUUGCUGCAGUUCCAACAGGACAGCGCCCUCCCCAAUGUGCUAGGAGGGAUCACUACAUUCCUCUCCCUCAUUUAUGCUGAGUGUAGAGCUGGGGACUGGGGUGGCGGGUGGGGACUGAGUGGGAGGCAUCUGUAGUCUUGGCCUCUUAACUCUCUUCCCUGGGUGCUUAGUGCUGUGUUUGGUGGACUACAAGUCCCAGAGUGCAAUGCACCUUGGCCUCGGUUCUUAUAGCUUUUAUCCCAGGGGAAGAGCUGCUCAGUUACAAAGAUGAGCUUCU
This 733-nucleotide long non-coding RNA is filed under the name Rattus norvegicus (Norway rat). Its description in RNAcentral is "long non-coding RNA NONRATT029536". Lineage: Eukaryota; Metazoa; Chordata; Mammalia; Rodentia; Muridae. The record is from RNAcentral.